AGCAGUCGCCGCGGAAAUACGUAGGGUGCAAGCGUUAAUCGGAAUUACUGGGCGUAAAGCGUGCGCAGGCGGUUAUAUAAGACAGUCGUGAAAUCCCCGGGCUCAACCUGGGAACUGCGAUUGUGACUGUAUGGCUAGAGUGUGUCAGAGGGGGGUAGAAUUCCACGUGUAGCAGUGAAAUGCGUAGAUAUGUGGAGGAAUACCGAUGGCGAAGGCAGCCCCCUGGGAUAACACUGACGCUCAUGCACGAAAGCGUGGGGAGCAAACAGGAUUAGAUACCCCAGUAGUCCCUGUCUCUUAUAC
RNAcentral lists this ribosomal RNA (303 nucleotides) under uncultured bacterium. RNAcentral describes it as "partial 16S ribosomal RNA". It matches the Rfam family "Bacterial small subunit ribosomal RNA", at positions 507 to 807 of the family's 1533-position model. The record is from RNAcentral.